RNAcentral lists this ribosomal RNA (301 nucleotides) under uncultured bacterium. RNAcentral's name for it is "partial 16S ribosomal RNA". It matches the Rfam family "Bacterial small subunit ribosomal RNA", at positions 509 to 809 of the family's 1533-position model. The record is from RNAcentral.
CAGUAGCCGCGGUAAUACGGAGGGUGCAAGCGUUAAUCGGAAUUACUGGGCGUAAAGCGCACGCAGGCGGUCUGACAAGUCAGAUGUGAAAUCCCCGGGCUUAACCUGGGAACUGCAUUUGAAACUGUCAGGCUGGAGUCUUGUAGAGGGGGGUAGAAUUCCAGGUGUAGCGGUGAAAUGCGUAGAGAUCUGGAGGAAUACCGGUGGCGAAGGCGGCCCCCUGGACAAAGACUGACGCUCAGGUGCGAAAGCGUGGGGAGCAAACAGGAUUAGAUACCCCGGUAGUCCCUGUCUCUUAUAA